This 484-nucleotide ribosomal RNA is filed under the name uncultured bacterium. RNAcentral describes it as "partial 16S ribosomal RNA". It matches the Rfam family "Bacterial small subunit ribosomal RNA", at positions 30 to 507 of the family's 1533-position model. The record is from RNAcentral.
AUUGAACGCUGGCGGCAGGCCUAACACAUGCAAGUCGAGCGGAUGAAGGGAGCUUGCUCCUGGAUCCAGCGUCGGACGGGUGAGUAAUGCCUAGGAAUCUGCCUGGUAUUGGUGGAUAACGUCCGGAGACGGGCGCUAAUACCGCAUACGUCGUGAGGGAGAAACUGGGGGAGCUUCGGACCGCACGCUAUCGUAUGAGCCUAGUGCGGCUUGGCGAGCUGGUGGGGUAAAUGCCUACCUAGCCGAGCAUCCGCAACUGGUCUGAGAGGAUGAUCAGUCACCCUGGAACUGAACCACGGUCAAGAGGACUACGGGAGGCAGCAGUGGCGAAUGUUGGACAAUGGGGGGAAGCCUGAUACAGCGAGGCCACGUGUGUGAAGAAAGUCUUCGGAUUGUAAAGCCCUUUAAGUUGGGGGAAAGGGCAGUAAGUUGAUACCAUGCUGUUUUGACGUUACCAACAGAAUAAGCACCGGCUAACUACGUG